UUCAAGUAAUCCAGGAUAGGCUGUUACCAGGCAGCACGGCCUAUUCUUGAUUACUUGUUUC
This 61-nucleotide microRNA precursor is filed under the name Chrysemys picta bellii (western painted turtle). Its description in RNAcentral is "Cpi-Mir-26-P4_pre stem-loop". It matches the Rfam family "mir-26 microRNA precursor family", at positions 12 to 70 of the family's 81-position model. Rfam says of the family: The hairpin precursors (represented here) are predicted based on base pairing and cross-species conservation -- their extents are not known. In this case the mature sequence is excised from the 5' arm of the hairpin. RNAcentral also lists the same sequence under 1 other name. The record is from RNAcentral. Lineage: Eukaryota; Metazoa; Chordata; Testudines; Emydidae.